This 389-nucleotide ribosomal RNA is filed under the name Atractus sp. PRMS-2018b. Its description in RNAcentral is "partial large subunit ribosomal RNA". It matches the Rfam family "Bacterial large subunit ribosomal RNA", at positions 1944 to 2550 of the family's 2925-position model. The record is from RNAcentral. Lineage: Eukaryota; Metazoa; Chordata; Lepidosauria; Squamata; Dipsadidae.
AACCGUGCAAAGGUAGCGUAAUCAUUUGUCUAUUAAUUGUAGACCAGUAUGAAAGGCACAAUGAGGGCCCAUCUGUCUCUUAUAAUAAAUCAAUUAAACUGAUCUCCUAGUAAAAAAGCUAGAAUACACACACAAGACCAGAAGACCCUGUGAAGCUUAAAUCAAACUAUUAAACCUAAUAAUACUUACUUUAGGUUGGGGCGACCUUGGAAAAAAAGAGAACUUCCAAAUAUAUGACCAUAAAUCACAUAUCGGCCUACAAGCCUAUACACGACCCAGUACAACUGAUAAUUGAACCAAGUUACUCCAGGGAUAACAGCGCCAUCUUCUUCAAGAGUCCAUAUCAAAAAGAAGGUUUACGACCUCGAUGUUGGAUCAGGACAUCCUAA